Molecule: ribosomal RNA, 478 nt
Filed under: uncultured bacterium
Lineage: Bacteria
Description: partial 16S ribosomal RNA
Rfam family: Bacterial small subunit ribosomal RNA
Source: RNAcentral
GAUGAACGCUAGCGGCAGGCCUAACACAUGCAAGUCGAGGGAGAAGCCCUUUCGGGGGCAGAAACCGGCGCACGGGUGCGUAACGCGUAUGCAACCUGCCUUUCACAGGGGGAUAGCCCGAAGAAAUUUGGAUUAAUACCCCAUAAUAUUAUUGGAUGGCAUCAUUUGAUAAUUAAAACUGCGGUGGUGAAAGAUGGGCAUGCGUCCUAUUAGCUAGUUGGAGUGGUAACGGCACCCCAAGGCUACGAUAGGUAGGGGUCCUGAGAGGGAGAUCCCCCACACUGGUACUGAGACAGGGACCAGACUCCUACGGGAGGCAGCAGUGAGGAAUAUUGGUCAAUGGUCGGAAGUCUGAACCAGCCAUGCCGCGUGCAGGAAGAAUGCCUUAUGGGUUGUAAACUGCUUUUAUAUGGGAAGAAUAAGGCGUACGUGUACGUUGAUGACGGUACCAUAUGAAUAAGCAUCGGCUAACUCCGUG